AGAUUGAACGCUGGCGGCAUGCCUUACACAUGCAAGUCGAACGGCAGCACGGGAGCAAUCCUGGUGGCGAGUGGCGAACGGGUGAGUAAUAUAUCGGAACGUGCCCAGUAAUGGGGGAUAGCCCGGCGAAAGCCGGAUUAAUACCGCAUACGACCUACGGGUGAAAGCGGGGGAUCGCAAGACCUCGCGUUAUUGGAGCGGCCGAUAUCAGAUUAGCUUGUUGGCGGGGUAAAAGCCCACCAAGGCAACGAUCUGUAGCUGGUCUGAGAGGACGACCAGCCACACUGGGACUGAGACACGGCCCAGACUCCUACGGGAGCAGCAGUGGGAAUUUGGACAAUGGCGCAAGCCUGAUCCAGCCAUGCCGCGUGUGGGAAGAAGGCCUUCGGGUUGUAAACCGACUUUUUGUACGAGGGAACGAAACGGUCCUUUAACGUAAUAGUUAGGGUCUAAGUGACGUACCUGAAGAACUAAGCGAACCGC
Molecule: ribosomal RNA, 483 nt
Filed under: uncultured soil bacterium
Lineage: Bacteria
Description: bacterial SSU rRNA
Rfam family: Bacterial small subunit ribosomal RNA
Source: RNAcentral